This is a non-coding RNA of Anas platyrhynchos (mallard), 2712 nucleotides long. NCBI's taxonomy places the organism in Eukaryota, Metazoa, Chordata, Aves, Anseriformes, Anatidae. The record is from RefSeq and is a predicted model, not a curated record.
CUCCCCGCUGAGCCUCGAGGCAGGAGAGCUGGGGGUGGUGGGGGCCAGAUGAAAUCUGAAAUCCAGCCCCAACCUUGCAAUGGGUGCGCUCGUGCUCCUGGGUCUUCUUGAGCACUGUGGCUGUGGUGUGCCCUGAGCAGGAGGGCUUCCUUGGGGUCUGUUUGCUGAAAAUAUGCUGCUGGACUUGAAAGUAUUUCUCAGAAAGUGAUCUGAAUUGCAUUAACUUCUAAUCCCGUCUUUUUUUUUUUUUUUUAAUGCUUUUCUGGCUUCAGUGGAGAUUUAUGAAGUGCUGUGGCCUUGGCAAAGAUCAAUAGAUAGCCUGUUAAACAAAGACUCAGAAUUUACUGUUUGGAUGAUUUCAGGAGGGAAAAAAAUAAUUUGAAGUAUUUAAUUUAAUAUCGAGCUCAGUUUCGUAACAAGGAGGGACAGAGCCCCCAUCCUGAAUGAAAUGUGGAACUUUUAUUCCUAGACUGCCUGAAGCAUUUAAUUAACAUCCUGAGGAGUUAUAUUUGUACUGCGUGGUGACAAAGCUGCGAUAGUGGGAGGCUCCAGCUCCCAUUCUCUGCUGUUGCUGCAGGGCUGUGCCUGCCACCUUCCUUAAUCCAUCCAGAGCCACCCAAAAACCAGGCAGAUGUCCUCCCUCUCUCCUAUUCCUUACAAAAAAAAGCUCUCCUAGCCUUUUCCCUUUAGAUUAUUAGAGGCCUUCUCUCAGUUUCCAGCCUGAGGGUGUUUUUAACCAGCUUAUCCUGAUAUCUUCCCCUCAUUGACACCUCUGCUUUGUGCCAUGUUCUGGUUCCUUGUGCAAGGUUUGGUCUUCAGCAGGUCUCCUUCCUCUCCCCCGUGCCCAAAUACUUCAGAUUUUCAUUGUCUCCAACCUGGGUUAUCUUUAGCCCCUCUGCAUGUUCCUGGGACACCUGAGCUAACAGAGGGUGCAGCUGGGGCUCUGCCUUUUUUGGGGAUUUUGGAUUGAGGCCAUGGGCUGGGUGCUUGGUGAUCCUCCAGUGCUGAAAAUCUGCCUCUGAUACUUGAAAUUCAUCUCAUCACAGGGGCUCGGUGAUGCUCCAGACCUUGCUUUGACCCUUCCCGUGGGCAAACCCAUCCUGAGCAAAUUUUUUGACCGGUGCCUGUUUAUUAGCUCAGCGGGAGUGAAAACCUGCCAAGAACGUGGAGAGGAAGCAGGGGAGCAAUCCUCUCUUAUCUCCUUGGAAAUAAUGCGGCCAGGAAUGCUUGCUCCUUCUUGAAGCUUUAAAUUUAUGAAAGUGAACAAUAAUUUUGCAGCCUCUGAGAGUGAAAUGUGGGGGGAACAAACGCACCUUAUUGACUUUUUUAGCUGGAGCAGCGUGGGGAACAUUACUUUGAGCUGCAUCGCGCUAAGCUCGAAUCCCAGGAGAUGUCUUUGUUGAUGCAUAAGCUGUGACCUAAAAUAUUGACUUUAUAAAGUAAUUGAAUCCCAGAAUCAUGUUUCAGAUGAAAAGCGCUUGACAAAUGACUGUAGGAAGGAGCCGAGCCUGAAGACUGGGGCACAGAUGUGUUGGGAUUUACUCUGCUCAGCUCCUGCCUGCCUCUCCAGAAGAAAGUCCCCACCAGGCUGGCCCGAUCCAGGCUCUGGGUGAAUUAUGGGGACUGCAGAGGCCAUCUCCUAAUUCAGGCUAUCUGUCUUGGAGAGAAGCUCAGAAGAGGGGGACGCUCCAGGGCAAGAUGGCAUUGUGGUGUUGGGAGCAGUAAGGCAUAAAGUCUGGGUUGCCUCCUGCCUUGGGAGCCCACAGAUUUUGGAAAUGGGCUGAGCCUGUGGGAUGGGCACCUGUGUUGCAAGAAACUCCAUGAGUGUUGGUGGUAACAGGGGUGAUGGUGCUGGGAAGGGAAGGAUGAAUUAAUCUCAUGUAGAAGGCCUAAUGAGGAGACAGUUUGUACUUAUUGACGGCUUUCAGGGGUAGUCUUCCUUCAUCUUGAGUGGUUGUGCCCUGAGGACUUCUAAUCCAGGAGAAAAAAAGGUAAGGAGAUGGUGUUGGACCACUCCUGUCCAACUUGGCAGUAAACGUCCUGUCUUUGUGCUGGAAAACAUGAAAAUCCUCAAAGUUUCACUAGAGAUGUGUUCAGAAGAUGCUGUUGGGAGAGGGCUCUCUCCAGUGAUGUAACAAGCUGCAGUUUGCUUCAAACUUUAAGUAUUAUAAAUGUGGCUGAUGUAAUUCUAUUUCAAAAAGCCUUAGAGGCUUGCAAUAAUAAACAGAGCCUUUUAGUACCAGGUUAUUGAUGCAAAAUAGUUUAGCAAACUGGGUUGCUGAAGUGCAAAUGCCAUGUAUUAUUCAUUAAACUCUUUCUUUCCACAAAUCAUUGCUUUCCAUGGCGUAAUGUUCCCCGGUAGCACCACUCUUCGGGAAGCUCUUUGGUGUGAGCCAAAUGUGGAGCCUCAGACCCAUCCAUCAGGACGAGCCGUUGGUUACGUUGUUGUCUUCCAAAUGGAGUUCAUAAUGGGCAAAGAGGUUUAAUUAAUGCUUCAGAGUAAUGUGUCUGUUUAUAAAGAAAUAAUGUACUAUAAAAUUAGGCAAUGCAUAGUGAAAUGUACCUUCUAAUGGGUAGGCUGGCAUUUUAAGUGAUCAGUAAAUCACUUAAAUAUUAAGACCUUCUUGAACAAGGAUAAUAAAGCAAGAGAUUUGGAAAUGGUAGAUACCAGUACUUACAAUUAUCCACUAAAUAAAACAUUUUUAUAGUGAU